AUUGAUCGUUUUAACGACUUUUCGCUAGUUAGUAUUGGUGACCCAAAGAAGGCUAGAAAAAAUCUUCGUUUUAUCAACGGCCAUUUUGACAUCAGACCUAGCCGGAGCUGGAUUAAAAAAUGCUCGACGCAGGCAUGGAGGUGCUGGCGGUUUGUUCCAGAUCUGUGCGAGGAACGGCACAGGUAAUAGCCCUUCGUGUAAUCUGCCCGCUCAUCCAAGCUACCACGUCGCUCAUUGAUCGCUUCAAGCCCCAGGCCGCCAAAGCACGGGCUUAUUUCUGGAGCCCCUAAUGAAGGAGGAGGUCCUCAUAUGCAAGAUCCUGGUGCCGAGCGACCAAUUUCUUUUGGCCAAAAGUGUAGUGUAGUGUAGUGUGUCUAGUGAAGUGUAAUAUUGUGUAAAAAGUUUUGAAUAAAA
Uranotaenia lowii is the source of this 414-nucleotide long non-coding RNA. RefSeq lists it as uncharacterized. The transcript has 3 exons. NCBI's taxonomy places the organism in Eukaryota, Metazoa, Arthropoda, Insecta, Diptera, Culicidae. The record is from RefSeq and is a predicted model, not a curated record.